GACGAACGCUGGCGGCGUGCUUAACACAUGCAAGUCGAACGGAAAGGCCCUGCUUUUGUGGGGUGCUCGAGUGGCGAACGGGUGAGUAACACGUGAGUAACCUGCCCUUGACUUUGGGAUAACUUCAGGAAACUGGGGCUAAUACCGGAUAGGAGCUCCUGCUGCAUGGUGGGGGUUGGAAAGUUUCGGCGGUUGGGGAUGGGCUCGCGGCUUAUCAGCUUGUUGGUGGGGUAGUGGCUUACCAAGGCUUUGACGGGUAGCCGGCCUGGGAGGGUGACCGGCCACAUUGGGCCUGAGAUACGGCCCAGACUCCUACGGGAGGCAGCAGUGGGGAAUAUUGCACAAUGGGCGGAAGCCUGAUGCAGCAACGCCGCGUGCGGGAUGACGGCCUUCGGGUUGUAAACCGCUUUCGCCUGUGACGAAGCGUGAGUGACGGUAAUGGGUAAAGAAGCACCGGCUAACUACGUG
RNAcentral lists this ribosomal RNA (468 nucleotides) under uncultured bacterium. RNAcentral's name for it is "partial 16S ribosomal RNA". It matches the Rfam family "Bacterial small subunit ribosomal RNA", at positions 28 to 507 of the family's 1533-position model. The record is from RNAcentral.